Molecule: ribosomal RNA, 460 nt
Filed under: uncultured bacterium
Lineage: Bacteria
Description: partial 16S ribosomal RNA
Rfam family: Bacterial small subunit ribosomal RNA
Source: RNAcentral
CCUACGGGUGGCUGCAGUGAGGAAUAUUGGUCAAUGGACGCAAGUCUGAACCAGCCAUGCCGCGUGCAGGAAGACGGCUCUAUGAGUUGUAAACUGCUUUUGUACGAGGGUAAACGCAGAUACGCGUAUCUGUCUGAGUGUAUCGUACGAAUAAGGAUCGGCUAACUCCGUGCCAGCAGCCGCGGUAAUACGGAGGAUCCAAGCGUUAUCCGGAUUUAUUGGGUUUAAAGGGUGCGUAGGCGGUCGGUUAAGUUAGCGGGGAAAGCCCGAGGCUCAACUUCGGAAUUGCCUUUGAAACUGGUCGGCUAGAGUGUAGUUGCGGUAGGCGGAAUGUAUGGUGUAGCGGUGAAAUGCUUAGAGAUCAUGCAGAACACCGAUUGCGAAGGCAGCUUACCGGUCUAUAUCUGACGUUGAGGCACGAAAGCGUGGGGAGCAAACAGGAUUAGAUACCCGAGUAGUC